Molecule: ribosomal RNA, 599 nt
Filed under: uncultured bacterium
Lineage: Bacteria
Description: bacterial SSU rRNA
Rfam family: Bacterial small subunit ribosomal RNA
Source: RNAcentral
CCUACGGGAGGCAGCAGUGGGGAAUAUUGCACAAUGGGCGCAAGCCUGAUGCAGCGACGCCGCGUGAGGGAUGACGGCCUUCGGGUUGUAAACCUCUUUCAGUAGGGAAGAAGCGAAAGUGACGGUACCUGCAGAAGAAGCGCCGGCUAGCUACGUGCCAGCAGCCGCGGUAAUACGUAGGGCGCAAGCGUUAUCCGGAAUUAUUGGGCGUAAAGAGCUCGUAGGCGGUUUGUCGCGUCUGCCGUGAAAGUCCGGGGCUCAACUCCGGAUCUGCGGUGGGUACGGGCAGACUAGAGUGAUGUAGGGGAGACUGGAAUUCCUGGUGUAGCGGUGAAAUGCGCAGAUAUCAGGAGGAACACCGAUGGCGAAGGCAGGUCUCUGGGCAUUAACUGACGCUGAGGAGCGAAAGCAUGGGGAGCGAACAGGAUUAGAUACCCUGGUAGUCCAUGCCGUAAACGUUGGGCACUAGGUGUGGGGGUACAUUCCACGUUUUCCGCGCCGUAGCUAACGCAUUAAGUGCCCCGCCUGGGGAGUACGGCCGCAAGGCAAAACUCAAGGAAUUGACGGCUGNGACGNGCGAGACGACGACGAGGGAGAGG